UCAAAUUCUUUAUGAACAAUGUAUACAGUGGAUAUGUGAUCUUACUGCUGUUUAUUUCCAGUGGUGGAAAAUAUCUUCUUUGCAUCACAGGUAAAGAAUGAGAACUACAGCCCGAUCUGAAGGAGUUCAUCACCACCUAACCCCUGAUCCGGAGGAUAAUCUUCAAUUCAAAGACUGAGAUUUCCAGGAAUUCUAGAAAAUAGUCACAAUAUCCUGUAGCACACCGAGUUUGGAUCAAGAUCAUAGCAAGCAAAAAGUAGUCCAUUUCAGGUAUUUCAGGUGGUAUAUCCUCACCACUUAAGGAACUACCUCCAUGGAACAAGGUGGCAGAAACAAAUACAAAGAGUACCAACCAGAGGAGUCUACUGUUCACACUCAGAAGACACAUGCUGAGGAGAGGCAGCAGUCUGAGGCUUGGUGAGAACUCAUGGAGACAGGACCAGCAUAUUCAGCCUGAG
Mesocricetus auratus (golden hamster) is the source of this 458-nucleotide long non-coding RNA. RefSeq lists it as uncharacterized. The record is from RefSeq and is a predicted model, not a curated record. The transcript has 3 exons. NCBI's taxonomy places the organism in Eukaryota, Metazoa, Chordata, Mammalia, Rodentia, Cricetidae.